Molecule: non-coding RNA, 4108 nt
Organism: Equus caballus (horse)
Lineage: Eukaryota; Metazoa; Chordata; Mammalia; Perissodactyla; Equidae
Source: RefSeq, a predicted model, not a curated record
AAAGAGCCAGAAACUCAGGGAAAUUCCAACUUUUUUGCAGUGUCUAAACCUUGAGAAGGAAAGAAGAAAGGAAUGAGAACAGCUGUGCUCAGACACAUGCAAUUCUAUCCACCACUGCAUUUGUACGUUUUCUCGCUCACUGAUCUUGCAUGAUUGGCACAGUGGACUCUGCUCCAGCGGCAGUCAGCCACAGGAUUUUUCUACCACUUCAUGAUUUCACAGAAACAUUCAGGGACAGACUCAAUAGAUUGUUUCUUUAGCUAAUCAUUCUUGAUUAAUGAGAUGAGCCCUCAACCAAGUCAGGCAUAGAAUCUUGCCAACAAAGAGACUGCCCAAGAAUAUUCAAUCAGUUGAUGCCUCCCGGCAAAUAUUAACAAACAGCGUUGAGAAGGAUACAAGCUCAGCUUUGCGGCACUCGCUACCCUUGGAGUGGGAAGGAAACCUGCCUUGGAUUACGUCUUAGUUUGAAUUUCCCUACAAGCAGACCCAUAGACAUGGACUUGGAUGCAGAUGAUCUCAGAAUACAGAGGUAAGAGAGUAAAGAAGGUAAAUCCGUGAAUUAAGAAAAGACAAUAAAUGUGUGUUAAUGAGCAGGUUACCAUUGUAAUUGUGGCUUAGUCUUAUGAAAACUCUCAGAAGAACCAUAAAAAAACGUAGAGAGAUGAGAAAACUGACAUGUUUACCCAUCAACUCCAGUACCUCAUUGGUUGGAAUUUGCUCUUAGCAGUGUUGUGACUCAGGAUUUCAAGGCUGAACAAGUUUCCAAGGAAGGGCUGAGCAAGUUUCCAAGGAUAGCUUUCAAGCUCUCAGUAAAAGUAGAAGAAAGAUGCAGGUGACUAAGCUGGUCUGCUAACAACUGAAGUGCUGGGAAUUGUCCACUGUAGUUGCAGAAUACUCAGAGGUGCACAAAGGGAUAUAUGGUUUCUUGUCAACCAUGUUUGCUAUAGUCCAUUCCUGUCACUCAGGACUGCUCAUGGUCCACUGUGAAUCCACUCUGUUAGUAUACCUCACAUUGGUAGCCAACUGCAAUUUCUGCAAGUAAGUGUUAAAAACAGAAUAUGUAUAACAUGCUGUAGUCCUACUGCUGCAGUUGGUCCUCUUAUUUUCAUCGUUUCCUUCCUAUAUCACACACUAUAGAUUUUCUUGUUUCAGCAAGUUUUUCCACUUAUUUAGUUUGCUUUUCCAAUCAAGAUAUUCUUUCCUAAGAGAUUUGAGUCCCUGGAAAUCUUGAUUUCAUCAAGCUCCUGUUGUUCUAAUUUCCAUUUUACUCUUUUUACCAGGCAUAAAACCAGCAAAAGUUACCUGGGUUCCACACAAACUUAUUCAGAUCCCACUAGGUAGCAACACUUUGUCUUCUGAUUAUCUGUACCAGCAUAAAACUCUUCUUUGCCCAGUGAUCUACCAAAGCGACCAGGUGGCCAUUGUAGCUUCAGUGGAAAACUUACUGUAUAUUCUAGAGAAAGCAUUCCUUCUCUCCAAUCCCCAAAUGUGAGUGCCUCUAAUUAUGUUGAGCCUAAAACUAUAGACUGAGUAGCACAAAUUCCCCAAGUGAGUCACUGGGAGUAAUUGGGAGAGGGGCCAAUCCUUUUUCUACCCUUUUGUUCCUAAACCAAGGAGACUCAUAGAAAACUAAACACUUGUAGUAAAUUUAGUUCCAACCCACCUACUGCAUCCUGAAAGACAGUGCUACACUCCACAAGGCAGCAUCUUCAAGAUGAUGUCUUUAUUGAACCUUUAAUACAUUUCUACAUUCCACUAUGACAGCAGCUUCUGGAGGAUGACAGCAGAUUCCAUCAUCAUAUAUUCAUCGAUCAUGCCUCCAUCACCAUAAAAUGAACCCUUCAUUCAAAGACGAUGCUACAUAUGAUUUCAUGACAUUAAAUAAGAAUGUUCACAAGCUCCUUAGUAAUGCACUGGUAGAGGCAUUCUGGGCAAUGGAGAUAAAUAGUACCCACAGAUUCAUCAGAUUAAGAAUCAGUUGUAGUAAGGGCAAAGUGCUGGCUUCCCUAUGGUAAAAGAAGUCUGAUGUAGUUAACAUCUCAUGCAGUGUUUUUUGGUCUUCUUGAGGUAUGGACCAUAUAUACAUCUCAGCAUUAGUCUUGAUGUUAUGCAGAUGUUGAGCAGAUGCAGUAGCUAGAUCAGUCAUGGUAAGUAAAGAUCUGUGUUGCUGAAUUCACUUAUAGACAGAGACUGGCUCACUUCCAGUGUAAGUAUUCUGUGUGAUAACUGCUCACCGACUUCUCUGCAUUGACAGGUUCUGGUGGCUGUUGAUAUGAGAUACAGAGAUCCUCACACAGGGAGUUUGUAUGACUCUCAUAGGUCCAUGCACAUACCUCUUCCUCAGACAACUUUUUCUCUGAUAUUAUAAGCUUUCUCCUUCGAGCCUUUCACCAACAAGCUAAACUAUUCACUACUAACAUUGAGUCCCUAUAAUCUUCACCUUAGACCACUAUGCCUUAAUACUUUGUUUUACUACUCAAGUUCUACACACUGACAGAAUUUCCUCUCACAACUGUCUUUUAAGGCCAUCCAUAACUAAAAAAGUGCCUUUUUUAAGGCAUUCAAUAACUAAGCGUUGGAAGGUCCUUCUUCAAGGAUUUCCAGGCUUCCCUUCAUUUGAUGGGCUCAGAGUCUGAGAACUGGCUCAGAACUGAAAGCAAGCCAAGGGUCAUAUAUAUACAUAUAUAUAUUAUUAUGAUGGCUGACAACAUCAUUCUUCUUGCCAGUUCCUGAUCUUUGUUAUAGAAGUCAAACGAUGGAAUCAUUGAUUCACCUCUGGGAACAUCAUGGUCUAUUAGCUACAUCCAAUUAUCCCUGCAUUUCAAACUGCUCUGGAUUGUACCCCAACUCUCAUAUGCAUCACUGUCUUCCUCACUGUUUCUGAGCAUGGAUGACAUCUAAAGGAAAAGCUUUCUUUGAUUCUUUGAUUAGUCCUUUCUCCUCUGCUUCUCUAAACCAAAUUUCCUCUGAGAGGACCUCUGUAGCCAUGCCUGCACACACCGAUAAUCCCUUUCAUUGCUACAUAUAAGGUACAGAGCUUUUUACUUGUAAAAUGAGCCUUCCCCUUGAGGAAUUUUAUGUGUACUGACAUUCUCUGAGAUCUGCAAGUUCUGGGGCAUGUUUCUCCAUUUUUGGGGUUUUAUCUGUUAGUUUUUCUUGCAUUGUAUUUCCUCUCUCAUGGAUGCUGCCUUAUCCCUACUAUGUUUGUCUUCAUUCCUAGAACAGUGACUUGGAAACCCUUCACCUCUGUUCACUAUGUUGCUGGUUCUUUCUGAGCUCCACCAUCUCAGUACACAUCAUCGCUUUAAUAUACUCCUUACUUGUAGAUCUGCACAAUUUCAGCAGAUUUUGGUAGCCAUUAAAUGUUUUUACAAUUUACAAAUUGUAAAUCUCUUCUACUUUUGCUGAAAACAGUGUUCAUAGAUUUCUUCACCUGCUACUUUCCCCCUGCCUCUGAUAACGUUUCCCUUAUUGCUUUAGUGAUGGCUGGAAAAAGAUAGGAAAAUGCUAUCUCACACCACUCUGCUUAUAUAACAGUCUCCAGAAAGGGACCAUUCAAAAGAAAGAGCCAGAACUUCUUGCUUGGCAAAUAAACUUUAAUAAAUAAAAAUUCAAACUUGAAACUCUAGAUAUGAAUGAGGUAGUAAUUUAUAUGUAUUAGUAACCAACUAAAAUAGUAGACAUGGGACCUUGUGUUUUAUGUAUGCUUGUAUGGUCUUAUUUAUAGUCAUUAUGGUUUUAAUAUCUUGAAUUUAUCAUGAACACAUUGCCGCUCAUAGGAAGUCAAUUGACCAGCUUUACCUAAUAUCAAUUUGCACAGCCAGGUUUUGAUUCCUGAUGCAACUGAUUACAAAUGCAUGCCUAAUUUUUUUUUUUCUCCUUUUUUACUUCUUCUACUACAUGAUGGUGAGAGUAACACGAAAGUUCUUGAAGUCUUGCUGACAAAGAAAAGGUGAAUGCUGUUUAUACUUCAGAGAGGAAAUUCUCAUUUUCAGAAAAGCUCUACUUCAGACCAAAGCAACCAAGAUGCAUGCCACAGAUAGGUGGAAGAUAACUGUAUAUCUUAGUUACAGGUCCUUCUAGUUGUGGGAUGUGGGACGCCGACUCA